CAUUUCUCCUUCUCCUUUUCGAUUAACCCAGCAAGAGUUUGAAAGUAAGGCAACCAAAAACCUUCAAUCAUCUUCGUUCUCAAAUGUUCGAACUCAAGUGAAUCGAUUCUUUCCUCUUCUUUUCGACAUUUUCUCUGGUAUUAGGGCUGAAAUUUCUUAUUUUCUUGCUAAAUACUUCUAUACAUGAACAAAUCCUCUUUCCAUGGUUCCUUUGACUUCGAAUUUCAACGAUAAUCGAAGCCAACCAUUUCGAAGCCAACAAUCAUCUUUGUUCCAUCUGGUUCCUUGAUUUUCGGAAAUAACGAACAAAAUAAUAACAGCUGCACCAUGAAUGUCACCCAACCUUCUUGAGCAUUUUCGAAGAACCGUGCCUUCUUGCUCUCUCUUCUUUCGGCACGUCCUAGUAUACGGCAAGAAGGAGACGUUAUCAUCGAAGAACCCUUCUAGUUGAUAGCUGAGGGCCAGACUCGAGUCCUUAAAGCUACGUUGUCGUUUGAUCACAGAUCGGAAUCGGUCGGGAACGAUGGGUUAGCGGUGUUGAAUAGCGUUUCAAGGAUGUAUAUUGAGCUGAGCACGUAGGAAUUUGUAGAUUUGUAUUAGAAUUUUGGAUAAAUGUAUAUUAGAUUUGAU
This is a long non-coding RNA of Amaranthus tricolor (Joseph's coat), 630 nucleotides long. RefSeq lists it as uncharacterized. The record is from RefSeq and is a predicted model, not a curated record. The transcript is spliced from 4 exons. Lineage: Eukaryota; Viridiplantae; Streptophyta; Magnoliopsida; Caryophyllales; Amaranthaceae.